GGGAGGCAGCAGUGAGGAAUAUUGGUCAGUGGACGAGAGUCUGAACCAGCCAAGUAGCGUGAAGGAUGAAGGUUUAUGGAUUGUAAACUUCUUUUAUACGGGAAUAACGAAUCCACGCGUGGAUUUUUGCAUGUACCGUAUGAAUAAGGAUCGGCUAACUCCGUGCCAGCAGCCGCGGUAAUACGGAGGAUCCGAGCGUUAUCCGGAUUUAUUGGGUUUAAAGGGAGCGUAGAUGGGUUGUUAAGUCAGUUGUGAAAGUUUGCGGCUCCACCGUAAAAUUGCAAUUGAUACUGGCAGUCUUGAGUACAGUUGAGGUAGGCGGAAUU
This 326-nucleotide ribosomal RNA is filed under the name uncultured bacterium. Its description in RNAcentral is "bacterial SSU rRNA". It matches the Rfam family "Bacterial small subunit ribosomal RNA", at positions 343 to 668 of the family's 1533-position model. The record is from RNAcentral.